RNAcentral lists this long non-coding RNA (597 nucleotides) under Homo sapiens (human). RNAcentral describes it as "non-protein coding lnc-E2F6-5:1". The record is from RNAcentral. Lineage: Eukaryota; Metazoa; Chordata; Mammalia; Primates; Hominidae.
UUUUAUAAAUUUCAUAUUAAAAUUUUAUUAAGUUCUUUGUUAUCUAAGGAGAAUUGUUAUCUUUAGCCUCACAUGUUGUGCUUAUUUGUAGAAUCAAGAUUAGAAGGAUGGCUUUCAUUGCCUGUACGAAACAACACUAAGAAAUUUGGAUGGGUUAAAAAGUAUGUGAUUGUAAGCAGUAAGAAGAUUCUUUUCUAUGACAGUGAACAAGAUAAAGAACAAUCCAAUCCUUACAUGGUUUUAGAUAUAGAGUAAGUGUUUUUGUUAGAAUAUUUAGAAACUAUAUCUUUUAAAGUAUAAGAGACUAACAAUGCAAUUUAUUAGUCUCAUAGUAUAGCUCCUACUGUAAUAUUGUUACAUUUUCCUGUGAUUUGCUUCAUACAGAUGAAAGUCUGGGAUACAGGGUUAGUUAAAACAUCUUUAUUUCAUGGGCCUUUGAUACAUUAUUUUUUGAAACUAAUUAGAAAAUUUCUGACAUAGAGGUUUCUAAAAAUCUUAAUUAAUUAUAGAAUUAAUAGAACAAAAUAUUCUGAGUUCCUAACAUGGGUCAAAGUAGUCAGUGUUUAACGUCUGAUGUAAGUAUAGAAUAAUUAAUAU